ACAUCAGAGCUACGGCUUAUGGUGGAUGCCUUGGCGAUUUGAGCCGAAGAAGGACGUGUGCAUGAGCACGAUAUCGUCGGUGAGCCCUCUAGCAGGCGAUCAACCGGCGGUUUCCGAAUGGGGCAACCCACCCCGCUGAAAGGCGGGGGACCCCGAUUUUAUAUCGGGGAGGGAACCUAGUGAACUGAAACAUCUAAGUAACUAGUGGAAUAUAAAUCAUAUGAGAUUCCGUCAGUAGCGGCGAGCGAACGCGGAUGAGUCUAAACCCCGCCUUUGGCGGGGGGUUGCGGGACCUCAAUAUAGCAUCAGUGUUGUAUAGCAAAACGUUUUUGGAAUGAACGACCAUAGGGGGUGAAAGUCCUGUAUGCGAAAUGCACCACUGGCUUAGAGGUAUCCCAAGUACCACGGGACACGGCAACCUUGUGGGAAUCUGGGGCGGUCAUGCUCCAAGACUAAAUACUCAAAUCGACCGAUAGUGAACGAGUACUGUGAAGGAAAGGUGAAAAGUCCCCCUGUGAGGGGAGUGAAAUAGUACCUGAAACCAUAAGCUUUCAAACAGAUAGAGUCAGGUACCGUCUGGUACCUGAUGAUAUCGUGCCUAUUGAAGAAUGAGCCUGCGAGUUAUCUGUACGCUGCAAGUUUAAGCACUUUAAAGUGCGAAGGCGAAGCGAAAGCGAGUCCUCCGAGAGGAGGCGGGUCUGAAUAGGGCCUUUAGCAGCUACAGGUAGACCCGAAACUAGGUGAGCUAACCAUGGCCAGGGUGAACUCCGCCGAAAGGCGGAGGGAGGCCCGAACCCGUUGUCGGUGAAAUGACUUGGGAUGAGCUGUGGUUAGAGGUAAUAUGCCAAUCGAACCUAGAGAUAGCUGGUUCUCCUCGAAAUAUAUUUAGGUAUAGCCUUCUGUUAAGACUUCAUGGGGUAGAGCUACUGGAUGGUUUGUCAAGCUUCGGUGAGUCAAACCAACCAAACUCCGAAUACGUGAAGUUGUUCCAGAGGAGUCAGUCUGGCUCGGAUAAGCGAGUCUAGGCAAAAGGGAAACAUCCCAGACUUCCAGCUAAGGCCUCUAAAUGAUUGUUAAGUGGGAAAGGAAGUGUUGUUGCAAAGACAGACGGGAGGUUGGCUUAGAAGCAGCCACCCUUUAAAGAAAGCGUAACAGCUCACCGUAAUACUCCCCGCCUUUGGCGGGGUUGCAAUAAUGCGCCGAAAAUGAUCGAGGCUUAAACAAUCUGCCGACGCUGGAGAUGCUUGUCCUUCGGACAAGAAAUUCGAAGCACUAAGCUCGAAACUCAAGAGAAAUCCAAAUUUUCUAAAUUCAAAUUACUAAAGUUUGGAAUUUUGAUCAUUAGGAUUUUGAUAUUGUUUCGGAUUUAGAAUUUAGAUAUUCGAGUUUCUCGCCCGGAGGACGAGUGUGGUAGAGGAGCGUUCUGCAGGCAGUGAAGCUGUGCUGUAAGGCAUGGUGGAGCGUGCAGAAGUGAGAAUGCAGGCAUGAGUAGCGAUUCUGCUGGUGAAAAUCCAGCACACCGAAUGUCCAAGGUUUCCUCAGCAACGUACAUCGACUGAGGGUUAGUCGGAUCUAAGGGCUCUCCCGAACGGGAAGUCUCGAUGUACAAGGCGUUAAUAUUCGCCUACUGUUGUGUAUGCGUUAUUACUGGCAUAGUGACGAACUAUGAUAGACGGUGCUUUCUAUAUGAGAGUUUAAGUAAUGACUUUGUUGCUUUUAUUGGUGACAAGGGAGUUGCGAAUAUGACUCUGCCCUCGGGUAGGGGAAAUCCGUUGCGUUAUGGGUCCAAGAAAAGCUAUGUUCAGGAGUGUACACUGCAUCCGUACUGCAAACCAACACAGGUGGACUGGUCGAGAAGACUAAGGUGAUCAAGUUAUGGUAGUUCAAGGAACUCGGCAAACAAGCUGGGCGUAACUUCGGGAUAUGCCCUCCCCGCAGCAAUGCGGGGCUCAGCAAAAGAAUUCCAUCCGACUGUUUAGCAAAAACUCAGGUCUCUGCAAACCGGUAACGGGAAGUAUAGAGGCUGAAGCCUGUCCAGUGCCGGUAAGUCAAGAACUGGGGUUGAUCCCCGCCUAUGGCGUGGUGAGGUCCUGGUUCAAGCUCCGGUGAACGACAGCUCUAACCCUGAGAGUUCUAAGGUAGCGUAGUCCCUUGCCGGGUAAGUUCCGGCCCGCACGAAAGGUAUAACGAGAUGAAAACUGUCUUGAACUACUGCUCGGCGAAAUUGAAAUGGCUGUGAAGAUGCGGCCUACUGGUAACAGGACAAAAAGACCCCGUGGAGCUUUACUGUACCUUGGCACUGAAAUUUAUGUUUUGACUGUGUAGCGUAGGUGGGAGCCGCAAGGCGAUCAUGUAACACCACUCUUUGAAACGUGAGUUUCUCACUUAUCCCUCUGGAUCGAGGGAGAGGACACUGUCUGGGAGGCAGUUUAACUGGGGAGGUUGCUUGCUAAAGAGUACCGCAAGCGCUCAAAGGUAUCCUAAUUCCGGAUGGAAAUCGGAAUGAUAGUGCAAGGGCAUAAGGAUGCCUGACUGUGAGACACACAAGUCAAGCAGAGACGAAAGUCGGACCUAGUGAUCCUCGUGUACUUCGUGGGAGGUACCGGGCUUAUCGGAUAAAAGCUACCCCGGGGAUAACAGAGUAGUUGCACCUGAGCGUCCACAGCGACGGUGCAGUUCGCUACCUCAACAUAUCGGGGUCCUCAGAUUGUAAAAUCUGAGUGCUGUUUAGAUAAUGUAAUAAUCUAAGAAAACUAACUCAUAACGGUGAAACCUUAAUCAUGAACCUAUUUAGCUUUGCGAACAAAUAAAAGUUAAAUAUUGAAAAGGUAAUACCGUGGGAAGUCGGUCACAUUAUUGUGGCUUGACCCCGUAUCGACUGGAUCUCUCGAUUAAUCGAGAGUGAAGAUAGGGAUAUUUAUCUCUAUAAAACGUUAGCACCCCGCUUAAAAUCGGGAUGAAGGUAUAGUCAAAAUUAAUUGGAAACAAUUAAAUCAUCAAUUGAGCGAUGUCGGCUCAGCGCAUCCUGGGGCUGGAGAAGGUCCCAAGGGUUGGUCUGUUCGCCCAUUAAAGCGAUACGCGAGCUGGGUUCAGAGCGUCGUGAGACAGCUCGGACUCUAUCCGGUACAGGCGUCUUGAUUCUUGAGGGGGCCUUUCUCUAGUACGAGAGGACCGAGAAGGGGGAAUCCCUGGUGUACCAGUUGUCCCAAAAGGGCAUCGCUGGGUAGCUAUAUUCCUACGUGAUAAGUACUGAAAGCAUCUCAAGUACGAAGCACACCCCAAGAUGAGGAAUCUUUUAGUCCCCCAGGAGAUCACUGGGUUGAUAGGCGUAUGGUGUAAGUCCAGCAAUGGAUUUAGCCUAUACGUACUAAUGGACGAACUCUGAUGUUU
Molecule: non-coding RNA, 3390 nt
Organism: Microgenomates bacterium OLB22
Lineage: Bacteria; Candidatus Microgenomatota
Source: Rfam